This 505-nucleotide long non-coding RNA is filed under the name Capsella rubella. Its description in RNAcentral is "long non-coding RNA (CRUB_LNC002085)". Lineage: Eukaryota; Viridiplantae; Streptophyta; Magnoliopsida; Brassicales; Brassicaceae. The record is from RNAcentral.
UUUUAUCAAGCGUAAGCAAAAAUAUUGCGGAUGGCUUUUAUACUAUUGAACAGAACAUGAUUUUAUAUUAAAAAAAAUAGAAAAAGGGAUAAAAUAUUAAAACGAAAAUGAAAGGUAUAAAUAAGAAUAGAAAAUAGAAAUAGAGUAUAUAACUGCAGUUUAAAAAUGAAAUCACCUCGUGAAGAGAAUUGAUCAUAAGAUUGAAUGAAUAUAAUCAUAAGAGUCAUUUGUAAUCUUGUGAAUGUUUCUAAAUAAUAAAAGCUUUUCAUUUGUAUACAACGUUUUUCUUUUGAGUCACCACGAUAAACAUUUAAAUAUUUUCCAGAUACUAGUCUUCUAUUCUUCUACUAAAAAAAAAAAAAAACAAUACUAGUCUUUUAUAUCUUGAUUUUGCUAAAUUUUCUAUGUAGUUGUACCCACUAUGUAUUUGUAAAUUUAGAAUAUUAACUAUAAGUUGGUUUCAAAAAAAAAAAAAGAAUAUUUAAUGUAUAAGUAUUUGGUAUAA